AUGCUGUAAUAAUUCUGGCAGAUUGAUAGAGAAUCUAGGACAGCAAUUUCCUCUUGCGUCCCUUGGUCGAAACGGAGCAAAAUGCAGACGCCGUCUUCUUCGGCGAAAGAAGCAAAACAAAAAAUGGCUUCCAUGUAAACAAAACGAAAACAUGCAUCCAAAUCUCGAGGACAUAAAAGAGGCAAAUGGGACUUCCCUUUCAGCUAAUAAAAGACCGAAGAGAUGGUUGAGGCAAAU
RNAcentral lists this long non-coding RNA (237 nucleotides) under Populus trichocarpa (black cottonwood). RNAcentral describes it as "long non-coding RNA (PTRI_LNC004192)". The record is from RNAcentral. Lineage: Eukaryota; Viridiplantae; Streptophyta; Magnoliopsida; Malpighiales; Salicaceae.